GUCGAUACGAGCAAACUAGAGUGUUGCAGGGGAGACUGGAAUUCCUGGUGUAGCGGUGAAAUGCGCAGAUAUCAGGAGGAACACCGGUGGCGAAGGCGGGUCUCUGGGCAACAACUGACGCUGAGGAGCGAAAGCGUGGGGAGCGAACAGGAUUAGAUACCCUGGUAGUCCACGCCGUAAACGUUGGGCGCUAGGUGUGGGGCUCAUUCCACGAGUUCCGUGCCGCAGCUAACGCAUUAAGCGCCCCGCCUGGGGAGUACGGCCGCAAGGCUAAAACUCAAAGGAAUUGACGGGGGCCCGCACAAGCGGCGGAGCAUGUUGCUUAAUUCGAUGCAACGCGAAGAACCUUACCUAGGCUUGACAUGCACGGAAAUCCUCCAGAGAUGGUGGGUCCGUAAGGGUCGUGCACAGGUGGUGCAUGGUUGGGUCCGUAAGGGUCGUGCACAGGUGGUGCAUGGUUGUCGUCAGCUCGUGUCGUGAGAUGUUGGGUUAAGUCCCGCAACGAGCGCAACCCUCGUUCUAUGUUGCCAGCACGUCAUGGUGGGGACUCAUAGGAGACUGCUGGGGUCAACUCGGAGGAAGGUGGGGAUGACGUCAAAUCAUCAUGCCCCUUAUGUCUAGGGCUGCAAACAUGCUACAAUGGCCGGUACAAGGGCUGCGAUACCGCGAGGUGGAGCGAAUCCCAAAAAGCCGGUCUCAGUUCGGAUUGGGGUCUGCAACUCGACCCCUGAAGU
Molecule: ribosomal RNA, 734 nt
Filed under: uncultured bacterium
Lineage: Bacteria
Description: bacterial SSU rRNA
Rfam family: Bacterial small subunit ribosomal RNA
Source: RNAcentral